This 253-nucleotide ribosomal RNA is filed under the name uncultured bacterium. RNAcentral describes it as "partial 16S ribosomal RNA". It matches the Rfam family "Bacterial small subunit ribosomal RNA", at positions 524 to 776 of the family's 1533-position model. The record is from RNAcentral.
UACGUAGGUGGCAAGCGUUGUCCGGAUUUACUGGGCGUAAAGAGCGCGCAGGCGGUCGUUCAAGUCGCGUGUGAAAGCCCCCGGCUCAACUGGGGAGGGUCACGCGAUACUGAUCGACUCGAAGGCAGGAGAGGGAAGUGGAAUUCCCGGUGUAGUGGUGAAAUGCGUAGAUAUCGGGAGGAACACCAGUGGCGAAGGCGGGUCUCUGGGCCGAUAUUGACGCUGAGGAGCGAAAGCGUGGGGAGCGAACAGG